RNAcentral lists this ribosomal RNA (253 nucleotides) under uncultured bacterium. RNAcentral describes it as "partial 16S ribosomal RNA". It matches the Rfam family "Bacterial small subunit ribosomal RNA", at positions 524 to 776 of the family's 1533-position model. The record is from RNAcentral.
UACGGAGGGUGCAAGCGUUAUCCGGAUUCACUGGGUUUAAAGGGUGCGUAGGCGGGCAGGUAAGUCAGUGGUGAAAUCUUCGAGCUUAACUCGGAAACUGCCUUUGAUACUAUCUGUCUUGAAUAUUGUGGAGGUAAGCGGAAUAUGUCAUGUAGCGGUGAAAUGCUUAGAGAUGACAUAGAACACCCAUUGCGAAGGCAGCUUACUACGCAUAUAUUGACGCUGAGGCACGAAAGCGUGGGGAUCAAACAGG